Molecule: ribosomal RNA, 257 nt
Filed under: Carex hirta
Lineage: Eukaryota; Viridiplantae; Streptophyta; Magnoliopsida; Poales; Cyperaceae
Description: partial 18S ribosomal RNA
Rfam family: Eukaryotic small subunit ribosomal RNA
Source: RNAcentral
GAGUCUGGUAAUUGGAAUGAGUACAAUCUAAAUCCCUUGACGAGGAUCCAUUGGAGGGCAAGUCUGGUGCAAGCGACGGCGGUAAUUCCAGCUCCGAUANNGUAUAUUUGAGUUGUUGCAGNUAAAAAGCUCGUAGUUGGACCUUGNGGGUCGGCGGUGCUCGCCGCCUCNCGGUGUGAACCGACCUAUCCGACCCUUCUGUCGGCGAUGCGUGCCGAGCCUUAAUUGGCCCGGCCCCUGCCGGCGCCGCUUACUUU